UAUANNUUGAGNUGNCAAGUCAUCAUGGCCCUUACGGCCAGGGCUACACACGUACUACAAUGGUAGGGACAGAGGGCUGCAAGCCGGCGACGGUAAGCCAAUCCCAGAAACCCUAUCUCAGUCCGGAUUGGAGUCUGCAACUCGACUCCAUGAAGUCGGAAUCGCUAGUAAUCGCAGAUCAGCAUUGCUGCGGUGAAUACGUUCCCGGGCCUUGUACACACCGCCCGUCACACCAUGGGAGUUUGUUGCACCAGAAGCAGGUAGCUUAACCUUCGGGAGGGCGCUUGCCACGGUGUGGCCCGAUGACUGGGGUGAAGUCGUAACAAGGUAGCCCGUAUCGGAAGGUGCGG
Molecule: ribosomal RNA, 350 nt
Filed under: Stenotrophomonas maltophilia
Lineage: Bacteria; Pseudomonadati; Pseudomonadota; Gammaproteobacteria; Lysobacterales; Lysobacteraceae
Description: bacterial SSU rRNA
Rfam family: Bacterial small subunit ribosomal RNA
Source: RNAcentral